This 253-nucleotide ribosomal RNA is filed under the name uncultured bacterium. Its description in RNAcentral is "partial 16S ribosomal RNA". It matches the Rfam family "Bacterial small subunit ribosomal RNA", at positions 524 to 776 of the family's 1533-position model. The record is from RNAcentral.
UACGUAGGGUGCAAGCGUUAAUCGGAAUUACUGGGCGUAAAGCGUGCGCAGGCGGUUUUGUAAGUCUGACGUGAAAUCCCCGGGCUUAACCUGGGAAUUGCGUUGGAGACUGCAAGGCUGGAGUCUGGCAGAGGGGGGUAGAAUUCCACGUGUAGCAGUGAAAUGCGUAGAUAUCGAGAGGAACACCAGUGGCGAAGGCGAGUCCCUGGACAACACCUGACACUGAGGCACGAAAGCUAGGGGAGCAAACAGG